CUUAACCCUAGAUAGAUAACCUACGUCGAAACGACGUAAUCGAUUUUGAAAAAUCGUUAUAACUCAUUUGUUUUUCGCGUUAUUAUCCUGCCCGUUCCUGUCAACUCAGUCGGCCGUCGGAGCUUGUAGGACAUACCCAUAUCGCCCCGGCCACGAUAAAAAUUACAUUAUGACGUCACGAAACCGUGCAGACGAUGCAGCAACCUGUCGGUUGUUGCGUGAAACAAGCGAUGAAGAGAUUGAGGUGUCGGACAGUGAAACUGAUGACUGUUUAUUAGAAGAUGAAGUACAAAGUGAUGCAGAAGACUUUGAAGACAGUGCACCAGUGAAGGGAAACACUGAUGCUGAAGACAUGUUUGGAAAUAACCCCGAAAUUUCUGAAAGUGCUUCGCUAACUAUGCCGAGUUGUAUUGUCAUGCCAUAGCGUCAAAUUCUCAGUGGCAAAAGCGAUCAUCCUUGGACGGCGAGUAAGACAGAACACGUGGCAGAGUAUCUGCUGCUGAUAAUAUGAUUUGUAAGAAAGAAAAACCGCUGGGUCGUAGAGAUUUUAUGAAGAAACUCAGCGGUAGCCUGAUGACCCCAUGGAUGUAGACAAGGCGUAAAAUGGUCACUUUGCCGAUAAAUAUCAAAGAAAUAAAUAGUAGUAUACUGCCAAAAAGACCAGCCAAACCUCCCACACAACAUGAAGGUGUACCUGAGCUAAAAAAAGGAAAUAUUGUGCCUUUUGUUCUUCAAAAAUUAGAAGGAUGACAAAGACAAUGUCCGACAGCUGCAAAAAUCUCAUUUGUGGAGAGCUCAAGUCUAGCGCCUGCCCUAAGUGCCUUGCAUGCUAAAAUGAAUAAAAAUUGUGAUUUACUUUAAUUUGUUAUAUACUAGAGAUUAUAAAAAAAUGAUUUUUAAAAGUUUACACAAUAAAUUAUAAGGAUGAUGGAAAGAUUGCUAAACGUUUAUGUUUCGAAAAGUAAAAAUUAUCUUGUUUUGUACUUAAUUUUUUUUUCUUAUAAAAAUAUAAAUAAA
RNAcentral lists this long non-coding RNA (1017 nucleotides) under Helicoverpa zea (corn earworm). RNAcentral describes it as "uncharacterized LOC124640432". The record is from RNAcentral. Lineage: Eukaryota; Metazoa; Arthropoda; Insecta; Lepidoptera; Noctuidae.